GCGUAGAUUAAUAACAGCCAACGUUCACUAGAAUCAAAAUGUUAAAAAAGUGGCGAACAGUAAGUAACGCCUAGGAAAUGCGAAAAGUUCGAGCCAAAACUAAAGAACCAAAGCGCUAUUUAAUAAACUGUAUAUGUAAAUGGGGUAAAGGCUGCCAAGCCAAUCAUGCUGACCUGUAUUUGCAGAUAAACAACCAAACUGGGACUAAGACAGAACAGGACAACCAAGGGAGGCAGAAGUGCCGAAAGCCCGAUCCAGCAUACCGCCUCAGUGAAAAAGGACAAUGCAGCUUUAAUCUCCUUCACCGAGUGCCAUCAUAACAACAAUCAAAGAAGAGCACAUAACCGAGACAGAACGAAAUAAGAGGCGUGUGUUUCAUCAAAAUAACUCGGCAUAAAGCGCACGUAAGCGGUAUCGGGUUGAAAGUGAAAGUCGCCAAAAAAUGGCGGAAUGCUAUCGAAACCAAUUCACUUGAGUGAGACAGAGGAGAGUGGAAUUUCAUGUGUAGGGGUGAAAUCCGUAGAUCUAUGAAGGAACACCAAAAGCGAAGGUAGCUCUCUAGGUCCCUACCGACGCUGGGGUGCGAAAGCAUGGGGAGCAAACAACAUUAGAUACCCUUGUAGUCCAGGCCGUAAACAAUGAGUGUUUGCCCUUGGUCUACGCGGAUCAGGGGCCCAGCUAACGCGUGAAACACUCCUCCUGGGGAGUACGGUCGCAAGACCGAAACUCAAAGGAAUUGACGGGGCCCUGCACCAGCGGUGGAGCAUGUGGUUUAAUUUGAUACAACAUGCAAAACCUUACCAGCCCUUGACAUAUGAACAACAAAACCUGUCCUUAACAGGAUGGUACUGACUUUCAUACAGGUGUUGCAUGGCUGUCGUCAGCUCGUGUCAUGAGAUGUUUGGUCAAGUCCUAUAACGAGCGAAACCCUCGUUUUGUGUUGCUGAGACAUGCGCCUAAGGAGAAAUUGCCACCGAGUGACGUGCCAGCCCUACUACUUGAUUGAGUGCCAGCACGUAGCUGUGCUUUCAGCAAGAAUUUCACCAUUAGGAGCCGGUGCCUUCCGAAGCACUUUCACGUGUGACGAACUAGUUUCCGACACACGGAGACCUACCGAUAGUGCGUCAAAUACCAGUGAGCUAGAAUGGGAACCCCUUGACACGUCGACUUAAGGAAAGCUUCUCCAGAAAUGCCCAAC
This 1198-nucleotide ribosomal RNA is filed under the name Triticum aestivum (bread wheat). Its description in RNAcentral is "bacterial SSU rRNA". The stretch from base 356 to 1198 matches the Rfam family "Bacterial small subunit ribosomal RNA", at positions 1 to 1156 of the family's 1533-position model. The record is from RNAcentral. Lineage: Eukaryota; Viridiplantae; Streptophyta; Magnoliopsida; Poales; Poaceae.